Long non-coding RNA from Vespa crabro (European hornet), 4035 nucleotides. RefSeq lists it as uncharacterized. The transcript is spliced from 6 exons. The record is from RefSeq and is a predicted model, not a curated record. NCBI's taxonomy places the organism in Eukaryota, Metazoa, Arthropoda, Insecta, Hymenoptera, Vespidae.
CACAUAUACUUUUAAAUAUAUAAAACUACGAUAAUACCUUUAUCGAUGUAAAAUAACAUAUUUAUCUGUCGUUAGAUAAAAUCAAAUCUGAUGACGCCAUUAGAACAAUUCAAUCGGCACAAUCAUUGAAAUAUCUAAUCGUACAUUCAUAGUUUAUAAUAUUUAAUACGUUUUCAUGUUAAAUGGUCAAGAAAUAAAAAGAAAGAAUUAUGAGGAUCGUUCGAAAGAAUUAAGAUUAGACGAUCGUUCAAUUACGAACGACAACGUAAUGCGUUCUUUACGUAACGAAAAAAAAAACGAAUCAUUGCAAUUUUAGAGGGAAUCGUAGAUUUUUAUAACGGAAAUAAAUCGUUGUGGAUUAUCUUCUAAAUGAUAUAGCGCGCGAGGUCGAGGUUCAACUUGUGUAAAUUAAACGUCGAAAGAAUCAAAUGCUCGAUAAUGAAUUUGAUUUGCGCAUUUCUUCUUUUCUAUCUCGGUGAAUCAAAUUUGGACGAGUAGAUUACGAAGAUAUUAAAAUGGAGGUUAAGUUUUACGUUUCGAAAUUUCGUCUUUGGCUUCGAAGAUAAGUGUCGAGCUCAAAAAUUUCCAGUAAACACGUACCAAGUGUCCUCGGGAUUUCCUACGUAUGUAUGUAUAUACCUAUAUCUAUAGAUAAACUAGAUAAGAAAAAUAUCGUCACGCGUUAUUUUCAAAGAUGAUCGUCGAAAAUAAAAUUGGGCUCAUUUAUAAUUCGAAUGGAACAAUUAUCAUUUUUCUUUUCUUUUUUUUCUUUCUUUCUUUUUUCUUUUUUUUUUUUUUCUUCUUCUUUUUCUUUCUUUAGAUAACAUUAUGCAUUGGAAAACAGGCCUUUUUUUCACAAAGAAAUUCUAUUAUUAGAAAUUUCAUAUAUACAUUGAACAUACAUCUAAUCAACUACUUGUUGAUUAUUCGAACGUAUAAUUUCUUCUGUCUUUUUCGAUUCUUUUUCGAGCGUUACAAAUAUCUUUUGCAGUCGUUAUGACUUUUCUUAUUAGAAUUAAGAAAGAGUUAAAAAGAGUGAGAGAGAGAGAGGCUCGAUUAUUCGCGACGUUCGAAAAGACAUUUACGAGCUUGUACGUCUUCUGUGCAGCAAAUACAUUUAAGUAGUUUAAGUAAAUCUACUACACGUGCAAUACAAUACACACACACACACACACACACAUAUAUAUAUAUAUAUAUAUGCACAUACAUUAAGCACGUAAUCGUCUAGUGUGUCUCUCUACAAAACCGAAGAUGCGAGCGUUAUGAAACACGCACUUGCCGGAAGAAUUCUUUCUCUCUCUCUCUCUCUCUCUCUCUUUCUUUCUAUAUCUUUGCCAAUGUAUUCGUGGUGACGAUAAUUACAUUUGGUUUCUUCUCGACACUUAACAAUUUAUUAGCCUAUAGUUCUUAUCUCAACUUGAUCGCAAGACGGCAUAAAAAAAGAGAAAGUAUUACUUUUCAUACUUUUCAUAAAGCCCAUCGAACGUUUUUAACAAUUUUUAAUAUCUAUAAAAGUUAGAUUUUGACGAUUUAAUGACACCCUUCGUUCGACCAAUCACUUUGCUCGAUCGUUCCGGGCGCGAUUUUUGAAAUUUAAUUUUUCUUUCUCCUUGUUCGAUAUUCGCGUUACUAACACAUUACAUGUUGCACGUUCUUACGCAUUAUUACACGUAGGAAAGAUCGCGUUUCUCUCGAACAAGAUGGGUGGAGUUCGAACUCGCUUGCUUAUCGCGAUAAUUAAAUGGAGUUAUUUAUGAUGGUAUAUCGCGAAUUACGAACGCAAUGCCGAGCUUAUGUUCUCCUCUAUAUGCGCUAUCAAACGUAAUAUCUCGAAAGUAUAAUGACUUUUGUUUGUCGUCUGGUGCCGUUAGUCUGGUCCAUCUCUUUUCAACGAGGAAUCUUUUGCAAUAAACCUUUUCCACAUUUCCGAUAAGCAAAUACGUGCGAAAGAUAUACUUGGAAAGGAAAUAUUUCAUAGAGUUUCAUUGAGCGAACAAAAAGCAAUGAAAUACGACGAUGGGUGUUACGUUUCCUUCGAUGAUUUCGACAUUCCCCUUUCAUUCAUUUACGCAUAGACGAUCACACGAGUUCGACAAUUUCUACGAAGUGACGUAAGGGGAGGACAAUGCGUAUGUUGUGCCUUUCUAACCACAUCGGAGAAGAUGCAUUUAAAUGUCUAUAGCUACGUUAAGCAAUUCGAGGAGUAUCAAAGGAUUAGCCUCCAGGGUGCCGUGAACGCAACGCAUGCGAACGCAUGCUAGGAGAAACAUCGAAUAGCACGGAAAGCGUGCCUCAAACUCGCUUCUCGAGCUCGUUAUCGGGGAGGUGCGAGCUACUUCUCCCUCUUUAGCGUUGCCACCUGAUUGCAUGGCAAACAUGAGCUACUCGCGUUAGCUCGUGCCAUCGGUUGUUAACACUUUCUUUAGACCGAUACUAUAGGAUCCUGCUCGACUUUGUCUACUUAAGAUGCGAUUAUGUCUCAUCUUUUCUUUUCUUUUUUUUUUCUUUUUCUUUUUCUUCCAAAAUUUCGAUGCACCUACAAAUUAAUUUCUACAGAAUAUAGAUGCCGCGUACGUACGCACACAGCGAAAGAUCUUUUAGGAUGAAAUGAUAAAAUAUUCUCGGCAUCGAAAUGAUCUUAAUUACAUGAGAAGUCUUUACUCGCAAAGUCUACCGCAAUUAUCGCACAUCGACUAAUGCCCGAACAAACUACGGAGAGAUAUAAAAAAGUUGCGACUCUUAAGGUUUACUUGAGAAAAAUGAAUUUGCACAAACGAACGUCUGACGAAGGUAGAAGAACGAGUGACGUGGAUGGCUCUCCGUGUCCGCUCAUAUACUCUACCUGCGCCGAUCUGACGUCACGGGUUUCGUUUCUUAUCAGUAGUCAGGAGCGCCAACACCUGUAUAGCCAAGCACCUGUUCGUCGAAACCUUCGAUGAUCGCGCGACCGCGCCUGUUCUGCAGAUCGUCCACCCUACUUUUCUAAUUCAUCAUUAUCUUGAUGAUGGAUCUUUGGAUCUACAGCAACGACAAGUUUUAAAGUUUUCUUAAAUGAAUGCAAAACGAAGGGUUGCUUUUCAAAUGACAUGAGAGAAACAUGGAACAUGUUCGUUCUUUUACAACAGUAUCACGCGUGGUUUUAUACGAUGCGUAAUGUCUUAUCUCGUGUCCUAGUUACAUCACUGCUACCCUGACUAUACAUACUAUAUAUACGCUAAUGAUACCUAUAAGGUAGAUCGAGAUCGAGUAAAGGAUCGCAUAAUGAUUUAAUGUCAAUUCUCAUUGAAUAUGUUAAAAGGAUAGAUUUUUUUAUUUAUUUCAAUAUUGAAUGAUAUGAAUUGUGCGAAAGAAAGUAUAUGCGUGCGAGAAAGAUGGAUCGAACGUCUACAAAAAUUAUAUACACAGUUAACUUAGCAUAACGAAAAACAAUUCAAAGUUAUUAAUGUUAAAGAAUAUAGAAAUGUAUUAAAAUUAUUUUAUAUAAAAUAAUAAAUUUCUUUUGUAAGGUCAUACUAUUGAAAUUUUCUUUAAAAUUUCAUUGUAAUAAUGGAUAAGUUUGCGUUAUUAAUAAUGCGUAAUAAAUAUAUGAAUCAGCUGUCAGAAAAAAUAUUGUACAUUUUUUGUGACUUUGUUGAUAGUUGUUUUAAAAAGAAGAGAAUAUAAUAUCUACGAGCCUAUAUGGAAAUAAAAAGUCUGGGCUCUUCCAAGAAUUAUGUAGGUCAGUAUCCAUCGUAUGUAUGCGUGUAGGUGCCUAUAUGUAAGAAAAAUCAUGCGUGAGACAAAUACAUGUGCAAGUUUUUACGAACGUUUACUGUCGGUGAGCUCGGCAUUCGUGUUACAUGUAUGUGUAAUAGUACCUGUGUGCAAGCAAGCCCGACAGUUCUUUCCUUUUUUUUUUUUUUUUUUUAUUUCCUAUCUUGGUAUUUAAAGUAGAUAUACGUAUAUUUUUCUAGGAAAUUAUAUAGGUCAGUGUGCCAAUUUAUAUAUAGGUUAGUAGUUCUCAAUACAUUUAAAGCUAUUUUUCGUUUCCCGUAU